This 725-nucleotide ribosomal RNA is filed under the name uncultured beta proteobacterium. Its description in RNAcentral is "bacterial SSU rRNA". It matches the Rfam family "Bacterial small subunit ribosomal RNA", at positions 44 to 766 of the family's 1533-position model. The record is from RNAcentral. Lineage: Bacteria; Pseudomonadati; Pseudomonadota; Betaproteobacteria.
AUGCCUUACACAUGCAAGUCGAACGGUAACAGGUCUUCGGACGCUGACGAGUGGCGAACGGGUGAGUAAUACAUCGGAACGUGCCCAGUCGUGGGGGAUAACUACUCGAAAGAGUAGCUAAUACCGCAUACGAUCUGAGGAUGAAAGCGGGGGACCUUCGGGCCUCGCGCGAUUGGAGCGGCCGAUGGCAGAUUAGGUAGUUGGUGGGAUAAAAGCUUACCAAGCCGACGAUCUGUAGCUGGUCUGAGAGGACGACCAGCCACACUGGGACUGAGACACGGCCCAGACUCCUACGGGAGGCAGCAGUGGGGAAUUUUGGACAAUGGGCGAAAGCCUGAUCCAGCAAUGCCGCGUGCAGGAUGAAGGCCUUCGGGUUGUAAACUGCUUUUGUACGGAACGAAAAAGCUUCUCCUAAUACGAGAGGCCCAUGACGGUACCGUAAGAAUAAGCACCGGCUAACUACGUGCCAGCAGCCGCGGUAAUACGUAGGGUGCGAGCGUUAAUCGGAAUUACUGGGCGUAAAGCGUGCGCAGGCGGUUAUGUAAGACAGAUGUGAAAUCCCCGGGCUCAACCUGGGAACUGCAUUUGUGACUGCAUGGCUAGAGUACGGUAGAGGGGGAUGGAAUUCCGCGUGUAGCAGUGAAAUGCGUAGAUAUGCGGAGGAACACCGAUGGCGAAGGCAAUCCCCUGGACCUGUACUGACGCUCAUGCACGAAAGCGUGGGG